Molecule: long non-coding RNA, 1961 nt
Organism: Felis catus (domestic cat)
Lineage: Eukaryota; Metazoa; Chordata; Mammalia; Carnivora; Felidae
Exons: 2
Source: RefSeq, a predicted model, not a curated record
UCUUUAUAGAUUUUGGAUACUAGCCCUUUGUCUGAUGUGUCAUUUGCAAAUAUCUUUUCCCAUUCCGUCAGUUGCCUUUUAGGAUGAAUCUGAUUUGACACUUUGGAGAAUCUUCUGACCUCACUAAACCAGACCGCUUUCUCUACGGAGACAUGUAUUGUUAAAAAUGAACUUCGUAUGGUUUUUUAAGAGACUGUGUUUUUCUGCCAGCCUGAGAUUACUGGGAGAUUUUAGGCAUAUUGUUGAGACUAGGGUAUAAAAUCUCUCAAAGCACUCAAGAAAUAUAAAGGGUCUCUCGUCACUUUGUGGUGCCUUUCUCUUCAGGAAAUAUCUCUGGUGGGCUGACCUCCCUCUCAUGCCAUCCUGGAGCUCUGACCAGUGUCCUACACCUUGCAGACCAUCAUCCUUCACCUCACCAGUUGAGAGCCUUUACUCAAAGCUUCAACACGUGGGGAAGAAAUUUUCCACUGUGGGAACAUUUUCAUUUUUCAAAUUAAAAUCGCAGCACAGCCCUACGGUUAGAAGAGUGGCAUUUCUAACUAAGGUGACACCAGGUCACACGCACGCUAGAGAUGAAAUCAUUUCUGCCGUUGGCUGCACUUGACAGACUGAGCAAGAUCCUUCUGAAAAAGUAGGCAUUGGCUCCUAGCAUCUGUCCAUGUUCCUGUAUUCUUGCAAAACAUUCAUAUCCCACUUUCUUCCGGGAGAUUAGGAAGUAACAGGAUGACUUUUACAAAAUCAAGUAUCAGAUGUUCUUACGCAUCAGGAAGAAAGUUAGAAUGUUUCUUCCAGCUCACGCUGGCCCAUAAGAUCUAACUGUUCAAAACUCAGGGAGGUUGUGAGUUGACUGAAAUCAUGUUGGUAGCUUGAAAUCAGCCCUGGUGAAGACAUGUACACCAUGGAAAUCAGCCAACACAGAGAAAGGAGUGAUCGCACUCCUAGCAGAAACUUCAAGAACAUGUUGGACUUGGAGCUAGGCCUCGAAGUACAGGGAGGAAAGGAGGCCGAGCAGGCGAGCAGAGUGAAGGUCAUGGAAAAGAAGCAGUCUUCCAGCUGCCCAGUCUGUACCUGCACUCUCUCUAGGUCUUCGGUAAUCGCUGCUCUCAGUUCCAUUCUCUGUGAAGCCAAGACCCUCUUGGCUGGUGCUGUGGGACCCCCUCUGGGUCCUCGGACCCAGCCAGCCUGCAUCGACGGGAUACACAAGACGGACUAUAUAGUAUUUUGCGAAAGCUGCAGAAGUCAUUCUCAUUUAUAUGCGAGCUAUAAAGACUCCAGCCUAAGCAAAUUCACCCACAGAUGUACUCUGUAAGGGACUGAGUGUUUAAUCAAGGGAAAGACUUUCGAUGGCGAGGGUGAGAAACACGGAAAAUAGGAAAUCCGAAUAAUUACUGCAAAUGUGAUCUAGAAGCACAAAAAUGUUCUUAAAGAUUCAACUCUUCACCCGUUUUGGUUCCCUAAAACUAUUUUAUGUUAUUGUAUCUUCAUUUAUUUCUUCUGAGAAAGAGAGAGCCCAAGCAGGUGAGGGGCGGAGAGAAGGAGAGACAGAAUCUCAACUAGUAGGCUCUGCGUCAUCAGCGCAGAGCCCGACGCGGGGGGCUCGAACUCACGAACCCUGAGGUCAUGAACUGAGCGGAGAUCCGGAGGCAGACACUUCAGGCGUCCCCUGUUUCCCUAUUACGUUUUCUGAAUUUGAGAAUUGCACUGGGGUUACAUUAGAGAACGGCAUUGUUCUUGGAAAUUAGUCAAGUGUCGCUGGGUAAGGGGGUCCACGAAAGUGAGGAAGGAGGGAGGGGAAGAGAGCCAGAGACGGAGGGAGAGGGGGAGAGGGAGACAGCAAAUGGGGUGUAACAGUGGUGACGCCGGGUAAACGGCGCACGGGAGUGUUUUGUACUAUUCUUGCCCACCUUCUGUACAUCUGAAACCAUUUCAAAAGACAACGUUUAAAAAUCGCUUUAAAAGUA